UAGUAUAUAAUUAUUUAUUGAAACUUAAAUAUUUUGGCGGUAUUUUAGUUUAUUUAGAGGAAUCUGUUUAUUAAUUGAUAAUCCACGAAUAAAUUUACUUAAUUUAUUAUUUUGUAUAUCGUUGUUAAAAAAAUAUUUUUUAAUAAUUAUAAUAUUUUAAAAUUAUAAUAUAAAAUUAAAUCAAAUCAAGAUGCAGAUUAUAAUUGAGAAUAUAAUGGAUUACAAUAAAUUUAUUUAAAUGAAUUUUAAUUUGUAAUAAUUAAAUGAAAGUGGAUUUAAAUGUAAUUUUAUUUAUUUUAAUAAAAUGAUUAAGAGKUAAAAUAUGUGCGCG
This 331-nucleotide ribosomal RNA is filed under the name Gnophos furvata. RNAcentral's name for it is "partial 12S ribosomal RNA". Lineage: Eukaryota; Metazoa; Arthropoda; Insecta; Lepidoptera; Geometridae. The record is from RNAcentral.